GUACGAAUCCAGUCAGGGUUGGAACCAUGGCGGUGACCAAGGAGCUCUUACAGAUGGACCUGUACGCGCUGCUAGGUAUCGAGGAGAAAGCAGCAGACAAAGAGGUGAAGAAGGCAUAUAGGCAGAAGGCCCUGUCCUGCCACCCAGACAAAAAUCCAGAUAAUCCCAGAGCAGCUGAGCUCUUCCACCAGCUUUCUCAGGCCUUGGAGGUACUGACCGAUGCUGCAGCCAGGGCUGCAUAUGACAAAGUCAGGAAAGCCAAGAAGCAGGCAGCAGAGAGGACCCAGAAACUUGAUGAGAGAAGGAAGAAAGUGAAGCUUGACUUGGAGGCCCGAGAGCGGCAGGCCCAGGCCCAGGCCCAUGGCAGUGAGGAAGAGGAGGAGAGCCGGAGCACCAGGACAUUGGAGCAGGAGAUUGAACGCCUUCGAGAAGAGGGUUCCCGGCAGCUGGAGGAACAGCAGAGGCUGAUCCAGGAGCAGAUACGCCAGGAACGGGAGCAGAGGUUGAGAGGAAAGGCAGAAAAUCCUGAAGGCAGAGGAACCCCCAAACUAAAGCUAAAAUGGAAGUGCAAGAAGGAAGAUGAGUCAAAAGGCGGCUACUCCAGAGAUGUCCUCCUACAGCUUUUCCAGAAGGCUGAGCCAUGCUUACUGGGACCCCCUUGUCCUCACAGUAUGGAGAGGUGCUCCACCUGGUGCUUUCCAGUAAGAAGGCUGGCACUGCCGUGGUGGAGUUUGCAACCAUCAAGGCUGCGGAGCUGGCUGUCCAAAAUGAAGUGGGCCUGGUCGAUAACCCUCUGAAGAUUUCCUGGUUGGAGGGACAGCCCCAGGGUGUGGGGGGCCCCAGCCACCCAGGACUGUCGCAGGGCUCAGUGCUGUCCGAGAGGGACUAUGAGAGCCUCGUCAUGAUGCGCAUGCGCCAGGCAGCUGAGCGGCAACAGCUGAUCGCCCAGAUGCAGCGGGAAGAUGAGGUGGGGCAGCCCACGUAACCUCUUGCCUCCAGCCCACCAGCCCACCCACCCACGGCCCUCUUCCUGAACAUCACCAAUAAACUUUCUUUUUUUUUUUUUUAA
This is an RNA transcript of Callorhinus ursinus (northern fur seal), 1069 nucleotides long. It is a transcript of the gene named DnaJ heat shock protein family (Hsp40) member C17, with no coding region annotated. Lineage: Eukaryota; Metazoa; Chordata; Mammalia; Carnivora; Otariidae. The record is from RefSeq and is a predicted model, not a curated record.